This 485-nucleotide ribosomal RNA is filed under the name uncultured bacterium. RNAcentral describes it as "partial 16S ribosomal RNA". It matches the Rfam family "Bacterial small subunit ribosomal RNA", at positions 28 to 507 of the family's 1533-position model. The record is from RNAcentral.
GAUGAACGCUAGCGGCAUGCUUAAUACAUGCAAGUCGAGGGGCAGCGCAGUGUAUCAAUCCUCGGGCGGCGACCGGCACACGGGUGCGGAACACGUACGCAACCUACCCAUAACUGAUUAAUAGCCCUCCGAAAGGAGGAUUAAUACAUCGUAACUUCAUGAAGCGGCAUCGCUUUAUUAAUAUAGCCCCGGCGGGUUUGGCUGGGCGUGCGCCUGAUUAGGUAGUUGGCGGGGUAACGGCACACCAAGCCUGCGAACAGUAACUGGUGUGAGAGCACGACCAGUCACACGGGGACUGAGACACGGGUCCGACUCCUACGAGAGGCAGCAGUAAGGAAUAUUGGUCAAUGGACGCAAGUCUGAACCAGCCAUGCCGCGUGAAGGAUGAAGGUCCUCUGGAUUGUAAACUUCUUUUGAAUGGGACGAAACCUCUUUUUCUUGAGAGACUGACGGUACCAUAAGAAUAAGCACCGGCUAACUACGUG